Molecule: long non-coding RNA, 1886 nt
Filed under: Elaeis guineensis (African oil palm)
Lineage: Eukaryota; Viridiplantae; Streptophyta; Magnoliopsida; Arecales; Arecaceae
Description: long non-coding RNA (EGUI_LNC042300)
Source: RNAcentral
CUCUUCUCCAAUCCAACCUUCUCUGCAUCCCCACCCUAACCCUAUCCCUAACCGUAACCUGAGCGAACCUCAACCCCUAACCCUAACCCCCAGCAGAACCUAACCCUAACUCUAACCCCCUACAAAACCUAACCCUAACCCUAGCCAGCCCCACGAGAACCUAACCCUAACCCUAACCCCCAACAGAAUCCUAACCCUAACUCUAACCCCCUACAAAACCUAACCCUAACCCUAACCAGCCCAUUAGCCUAACCCUAACCCUAGCUAGAUAGCUAACCCUAAUUGGAUCCUUUAUCGUAACCUUAACCCUAAUCGGAUCUGCUAACCCGUUAGCCGACUAAAUACAACCCGUUUAACGUGCCCGUUAGCUAAUUUGUAUGGAUCCGAUCGCGAUCCAUCCCUAAACCCAUUAACUCGUAUCUUCUUUUUCCUUCUUAAUCCAUCCACUUCUUCCUGCUCACCAAACCCUUACCCGAUCCAUCAAAACUCAUACAUGUAUUUCUUUCUAUUCAUCGGAAGGCUUCACAGCAAACCUCUUCUCCUUCCUCUUUCUAUUCACUAGAAGGCUGCCGAAUCUUAGCAGCAACCGCGGCAUUUUUUUUCUUCCAUAUGGACAUUGAGGAAGAUUACCAUAGCAUGAUAGCAACCCUUUGUCCCUCUCUUCCCUCAUAUGAUGUUUGUAAAUAAAGGAGUGGAAGGUGACAUUGAGGAAGACUACCAUAGUAUGGUAGCAACCCUUUGUCCCUCUAUUCCCUCACAUGAUGUUUGUAAAUAAAGGAGUAGAAGGUUGCAACAAUGUAGGUAGCAACCCCCUUGCAUUCCUAAUAAGAAAGAGAAUGUUGUUUCUGAUAUUAUGGUGAAAGAAAAUUUUAACCAAUGAGGGAAUAAAAAUUACCUUCCCUAGCUCCCUUUACUCGAUUUUUCUUGUCAUCUGCCACCCUUUUCAAUCUUUCCUUGGUAAGCCUAAGGAAAUACAAAAAAAGCAGCAAUCAAAAACAGGCCGACUAAAAAAAAAUACUCCCCACCUCAUCUUUUCUUCAGUAUAUAUAGGCUAAAGCACGGAAAGAAACCGAUAAGACAAUCCAUACUUUGCCAUCAAUAUUUUCUAUUUUUUCUCAAAAAUCUUCUCUAAGACUUCUUUUCAUCCGUCCCACUUUUUGCUCUUUUUCUUUUCUUGCGUGUGCCUCUCUCAUGACAGAGAACGGCAUGAGAGAGGAAAGUCACCACACAGAGCUCCAUCCCUUUCCUUUUUUUUUCUUUGCAUGCACCUCUCACCUCUCUCGUGACACGGAAUGGCAUAGGAGAGGAGAGCCAGAGCAGAGCCGGCUUACUCAACCAUCAGAAGCACGACCCAUCCAAUCCAAAAGGCUACAUGCUGGAUGCAUGCCAUCUGUCCACAGUACACUGAACAAAAAGAAAAAAAAACACCGAGGAAGAAGGAAAAAAUAAUAGGUUUCAAUAAAUUUUACAGAGGGGGGGAGAGAAAGCUAUCUUGUCUGCCCCAAGCCUUCCAUCCAAUUAAGAUGGAUCUAAACUUUUCUAUUCGACCACUCCGAGCCUUCCAUCCAGUUGAAACUUCUACGAAUGAAAAAAAAGUAAAGAAAAAAUUUAAAAAAAUAUAAAAAAAUCAACAAAAAUAAAAAAAAUUGAAAAACAAUUAAAAAGCAAGAUAUUUUUCUAUAUAGAUUUAAAAUUUAUUUUUUUCACAAACCAAAAGCUAUAAAAAUAAUAACAUACUUUUGAAACAUAAUAAAAAAUUUAACAAUAAAAAAAGACUGAGAUUCACAGUCUUACCUGCUAAGUGCAGUCGAUAACUUUGUUAUGUUGUAUCGAACCUCAAAUUCGUAUAUUAAACCUCAACUUCGUUAUGCCAUAUUAAACUCUCC